This 508-nucleotide ribosomal RNA is filed under the name uncultured bacterium. RNAcentral describes it as "partial 16S ribosomal RNA". It matches the Rfam family "Bacterial small subunit ribosomal RNA", at positions 29 to 523 of the family's 1533-position model. The record is from RNAcentral.
AGUGAACGCUGGCGGUGCGCCUAAAACAUGCAAGUCGAGCGGCAGCGGGGGAGAAGCUUGCUUUUCCUGCCGGCGAGUGGCGAACGGGUGAGUAAUACAUCGGAACGUGCCCUGUAGUGGGGGAUAACUAGUCGAAAGAUUAGCUAAUACCGCAUACGACCUGAGGGUGAAAGUGGGGGACCGCAAGGCCUCAUGCUAUAGGAGCGGCCGAUGUCUGAUUAGCUAGUUGGUGGGGUAAAGGCCUACCAAGGCGACGAUCAGUAGCUGGUCUGAGAGGACGAUCAGCCACACUGGGACUGAGACGCGGCCCAGACUCCUACGGGAGGCAGCAGUGGGGAAUUUUGGACAAUGGGCGAAAGCCUGAUCCAGCAAUGCCGCGUGUGUGAAGAAGGCCUUCGGGUUGUAAAGCACUUUUGUCCGGAAAGAAAUGGCUCUGGUUAAUACCUGGGGUCGAUGACGGUACCGGAAGAAUAAGGACCGGCUAACUACGUGCCAGCCGCCGCCGUAA